Long non-coding RNA from Bos taurus (domestic cattle), 929 nucleotides. The record is from Ensembl. NCBI's taxonomy places the organism in Eukaryota, Metazoa, Chordata, Mammalia, Artiodactyla, Bovidae.
GUAACUAAUUCAUUAUUACUAUUAUUGCAGUUAAAAGGAAGACCAGGAAGAGGGGGUGGGGUGGGGGGAAAGGAAGAACAAAAAGGAGGGGGGAAUAAGAUAAAGAGCAAAGAUUUAUGGAGUGGGAAGAGACCUCAGAGGUAAUCUAGUACUGAGAUGGAAUAAAUUAUUUUCGCCAGUUGGGAACUUGAUCCAGACAUUCUAUAUGUUGCAAGCCUUAAAAAAAUCAAGAACAAGAAAAUAUCCUGCACGAGGACGGGAGCGCGUGGUGUGAGCAGCUGGAGCACACUCUGGGCGCGCGGGCGGCUCCCGGACUUCAACAGGAGCGCUAGCGUGUGGAUAUAUGGCUGUGCAAAUCCAUGCAAAACUGAUUGUGAUACUGUGUUUCUUCUGCGGCCCUACCUUCUCACGAAUCUCCAGUCUUCACACGAAUCUCCAGUCUUCGCACCCAUUCAUUCAUGGGUGGGGAUUUGUUGCACUGCUUGUGUUAUAUAUAAAGUAUUGCACUUGUCCCGGCCUGUGGAAGAAAUGAGGAAUUUAUCAUCUUCUUUUAAUGUUUAAAGGUUGUAAGUUCUGAUACUUGAUCAUUGUAAAAUGACCUGUUUUGCUGUUGUCGGGUGGAUCACGAUGCAAUUUUGAUUAGUAUAAUAGGAGAAAAAUUGCACGGUAUCCAUCUGCGAACCGCAGGACCCUUGUUGACAACAGUCUGUUGGUACUUAAGUAAGAUGUCCUUUCUCUAGUUAACUGCAGUUAAAAAAUGUUCUGAAACACAUCUGGAGUUUUAAAAAUGGUAACAGUUUUUAAAAUAAAAUAUUUGAAAUCAAGAAGGUGUAUUUUCGCAGUUGGGUGAAGGAGCAGAUUGUUACUGAAUGUAAAUGGACAUUUAAAUGUAAAUUUGCAAAAUAAAAGAUAUUUAUAGAUCUGGAAAA